RNAcentral lists this long non-coding RNA (207 nucleotides) under Coffea arabica (coffee). RNAcentral describes it as "long non-coding RNA (CARA_LNC006452)". The record is from RNAcentral. Lineage: Eukaryota; Viridiplantae; Streptophyta; Magnoliopsida; Gentianales; Rubiaceae.
GGCGAGUGUGGUUCAAACCCCACCUGUUAAUGCUACUGCUGUUGCUGUUUAUCCAUACUGGUUUCCUUUAUAUAAUCGUAUGCGGCCUAUCGGAUCUGUACAGUUAACAGAAGAUCAGAUUUUGGAAAAUGAACUGUGUCACAGGUUGAACACUAGCCUGAAUGCUUUGGUGGAGGAGAAUGAUGAAGUCUCCCCUGAUGAGAGGAC